RNAcentral lists this ribosomal RNA (465 nucleotides) under uncultured bacterium. RNAcentral describes it as "partial 16S ribosomal RNA". It matches the Rfam family "Bacterial small subunit ribosomal RNA", at positions 338 to 795 of the family's 1533-position model. The record is from RNAcentral.
CCUACGGGUGGCAGCAGUGGGGAAUAUUGCGCAAUGGGCGAAAGCCUGACGCAGCGACGCCGCGUGAGGGAUGAAGGUCUUCGGAUCGUAAACCUCUGUCAGCAGGGAAGAACGGUCACUGUGCUAAUCAGCAGUGAAUUGACGGUACCUGCAAAGGAAGCACCGGCUAACUCCGUGCCAGCAGCCGCGGUAAUACGGAGGGUGCGAGCGUUAAUCGGAAUUACUGGGCGUAAAGCGCUCGUAGGCGGUAUGUCAAGUCAAGGGUGAAAUCCCCGCGCUUAACGUGGGAAAUGCCUUUGAAACUGGGAAACUGGAGUGUGUGAGAGGAUAGUGGAAUUCCAGGUGUAGGGGUGAAAUGCGUAGAUAUCUGGAGGAACAUCAGUGGCGAAGGCGACUAUCUGGCACAUAACUGACGCUGAGGAGCGAAAGCGUGGGUAGCAAACAGGAUUAGAUACCCUGGUAGUC